Long non-coding RNA from Salvia splendens (bonfire salvia), 480 nucleotides. RefSeq lists it as uncharacterized. The record is from RefSeq and is a predicted model, not a curated record. Lineage: Eukaryota; Viridiplantae; Streptophyta; Magnoliopsida; Lamiales; Lamiaceae. The transcript has 2 exons.
CAAUAUGAAUCAUCUUAUUCUUCUUUUCACUCUUGCAUUCGCUUUAUCGAGACCAAUCGCAGCAUGGCCAUGCAAAGGCUGCAAAGACGUGUUCGACGAUUUUAGCCGAUGUGGGGACUAUAUUCAAGGAGAAGGCAUCAGCCCGACACCAACGUGCUGCCAUAGUGUAACGAAUUUGAAUUCUAUGGCGAAGCAAGAAACGGGUGGUUCUAUAAGAAUAUGCAAAUGUAUAGAGCAUUUUGUGAGUUAUAAAGCCUCCAAUCCGUUCAAUGAAUCGCGCAUCUGAGAACUGCCUCUCAAGUGCAACACACACUUGAGUUUUCCGAUUUAGGAGCGCAUGAAUUGCUAUAGGAUCGUUUGAAAGAUUAGUCUCUACCAUUAUUUGAUUCAUAGUUAGUAGUAGUAUGGAUAUCAGUAUAUGUUAGUAAAUUUGUUUCCAUUAUUGGUGGAAUUAUUUAAAGAAGUUAUACUUAGUUUUUC